CCUACGGGGGGCAGCAGUGGGGAAUAUUGGACAAUGGGCGAAAGCCUGAUCCAGCCAUGCCGCGUGUGUGAAGAAGGCCUUCGGGUUGUAAAGCACUUUCAGUGGGGAAGAAAGCCUUGGGGCUAAUACCCUCGAGGAAGGACAUCACCCACAGAAGAAGCACCGGCUAACUCCGUGCCAGCAGCCGCGGUAAUACGGGAGGGUGCGAGCGUUAAUCGGAAUUACUGGGCGUAAAGCGCGCGUAGGCGGUCUGAUAAGCCGGUUGUGAAAGCCCCGGGCUCAACCUGGGAACGGCAUCCGGAACUGUCAGGCUAGAGUGCAGGAGAGGAAGGUAGAAUUCCCGGUGUAGCGGUGAAAUGCGUAGAGAUCGGGAGGAAUACCAGUGGCGAAGGCGGCCUUCUGGACUGACACUGACGCUGAGGUGCGAAAGCGUGGGUAGCAAACAGGAUUAGAUACCCUAGUAGAC
RNAcentral lists this ribosomal RNA (466 nucleotides) under Vreelandella stevensii. RNAcentral's name for it is "partial 16S ribosomal RNA". It matches the Rfam family "Bacterial small subunit ribosomal RNA", at positions 338 to 795 of the family's 1533-position model. Lineage: Bacteria; Pseudomonadati; Pseudomonadota; Gammaproteobacteria; Oceanospirillales; Halomonadaceae. The record is from RNAcentral.